UUGAGCCUUGGAGACAUCUGUCCUGUGUGAAGAUACCCCUGGCUGUUCAGGACCAGAUAGAACAAGUGGCAGCAGAUGCUGUCACCUUCCAAUUAACAGAAAAAAAAAUCUUUAUUGACCCUGUUGACUGGUUCUGACAGCUUAGUUACACAACACCAGAAGGCUUCCGUCAGAUGGCAUUGCAUCUAGACUGGCAGCAGACGCAAAGGCAAUUUGUCACACGUACGGAGAUCGUGAACUGACGCUGAAUGAACUCAGGUGACGUGGCUGCGCCUCGGACUUGGAAACAAAAACACAAGUGCGCCCUGGGACACACGCGGGCCGGGCUAUCAAAUUAAAACAAUCAGCGGGGUUAAUGAAGCGUCGCCCACAGAUCAGCUGGCUGUAAUGAACUCCAGUCAUCACUCUUAGGGUUAAAGCGGAGCACGCCCCCGGGGCCCAGGCUGUCCGCUGAUACCCAUGUGGCGCUGAUUAGCUCCGCGAAAAACUGCCGGUCCCAGCUGCCACCUGUGUGCCAUGCGUCGCCUGGGACGACCACGCACUCGGACCACCGGUGAUCACCGCUGCGGAACGACCCCGCGCCUCCCGCGCGGAAGUGCGCCUCCGAGCCAACUCUCCCAGCCCGUGACCCAGUUUAUUAGCAAGUACAUGUUCUCUGAUGCCACCCCUUUAUAAAAUGUUGCCGUCUGUGUUCCGAUGCAGAAUUACAAUGCGUGUAACAUAUGUCAAAACAGCCGCGCAUGCAUGAGUAGUAAUGUGUGUAUAACUAUAGCGGUGUUUAAUUUGACUGGUGUCGACGCCCAUGGGCGAUGCGUAAUAUAAAUAAAACUUUUACUGUUUCAUA
Conger conger (European conger) is the source of this 844-nucleotide long non-coding RNA. RefSeq lists it as uncharacterized. Lineage: Eukaryota; Metazoa; Chordata; Actinopteri; Anguilliformes; Congridae. The record is from RefSeq and is a predicted model, not a curated record. The transcript has 4 exons.